This 253-nucleotide ribosomal RNA is filed under the name uncultured bacterium. RNAcentral's name for it is "partial 16S ribosomal RNA". It matches the Rfam family "Bacterial small subunit ribosomal RNA", at positions 524 to 776 of the family's 1533-position model. The record is from RNAcentral.
UACGUAAGUGGCGAGCGUUAUCCGGAAUUACUGGGUGUAAAGGGUGUGUAGGCGGCCUUUUAAGUCAUGUGUUAAAUUUCCCGGCUUAACCGGGAACCUGCGCGUGAAACUGGAAGGCUUGAGUAGAGGAGAGGUAACUGGAAUUCCUAGUGUAGCGGUGGAAUGUGUAGAUAUUAGGAAGAACACCAGUGGCGAAGGCGGGUUACUGGCCUCUUACUGACGCUGAGACACGAAAGCCGGGGGAGCAAACAGG